RNAcentral lists this transfer RNA (73 nucleotides) under Trichonephila inaurata madagascariensis. It matches the Rfam family "tRNA". Rfam says of the family: Transfer RNA (tRNA) molecules are approximately 80 nucleotides in length. Lineage: Eukaryota; Metazoa; Arthropoda; Arachnida; Araneae; Nephilidae. The record is from Rfam by way of RNAcentral.
GUCCCUGUAGCGCAAUGGAAAGCGCUUUGGGUUUCUAAUCCAAAGGUCGUGGGUUCGAAUCCUGUCUGGGAUG